RNAcentral lists this ribosomal RNA (253 nucleotides) under uncultured bacterium. RNAcentral describes it as "partial 16S ribosomal RNA". It matches the Rfam family "Bacterial small subunit ribosomal RNA", at positions 524 to 776 of the family's 1533-position model. The record is from RNAcentral.
UACGAGGGGGGCAAGUGUUGUUCGGAAUCACUGGGCGUAAAGGGAGCGUAGGCGGGCUUUUAAGUUAGGUGUUUAAUCCCGGGGCCCAACCCCGGACCGGCACCUAAAACUGGGAGUCUUGAAUAGUGGAGAGGUCAGUGGAAUUGGGGGUGUAGCGGUGGAAUGCGUAGAUAUCGGGAGGAACACCAGUGGCGAAGGCGCCUUCCUGGCCUGUAACUGACGCUGAUACGCGAAAGCGUAGGGAGCAAACCGG